Non-coding RNA from Schizosaccharomyces pombe (fission yeast), 243 nucleotides. The record is from the annotation of a GenBank genome assembly. Lineage: Eukaryota; Fungi; Ascomycota; Schizosaccharomycetes; Schizosaccharomycetales; Schizosaccharomycetaceae.
AGUAUGACCUGGAGCCCAACCAAGAGAGUGGAUAAAUGCAUGAGCAAAGAUCUCCCCGAAUCCCAACAUAACUCCAUUCAAGAAAGGAAGGCCCAAAUUAAUUGCCGCAUACUUGAAAAUAUGAAUAACUUGUGAAAACAAGGUUUUUGGAACUGUAACUGUAUUUUUCUCCAUCCUGCUUGUCCAACAAAUACUAUAACGAAACGAACCAACCGGUAAUCAACACAAUUUUCAAAUAACUCC